AGGGAAUAGAUACCCUGGUAGUCCUAGCUGUAAACGGUGCGCAUUUGCUGUAAACGGAAUCGACCCCGUUUGUGGCGAAAGCUAAACGCGAUAAAUGCGCCGCCUGGGAAGUACGGUCGCAAGAUUAAAACUCAAAGAAAUUGACGGGGGCCGUGCACAAGCGGUGGAGUAUGUGGCUUAAUUCGAUGCAACGCGAAGAACCUUACCUGGCCUUGACAUGCAUGUGGUAGAACCAUGAAAGUGGGACGACCCGCAAGGGGGCGAUGCACAGGUGCUGCAUGGCUGUCGUCAGCUCGUGUCGUGAGAUGUUGGGUUUAAGUCCCGCAACGAGCGCAACCCUUCGUGUCCUGUUGCCACUCCUACGAGAGUAGGAAGCACUCUGGACAGACUGCCUCGCUUAAACGAGGAGGAAGGU
RNAcentral lists this ribosomal RNA (415 nucleotides) under uncultured bacterium. Its description in RNAcentral is "bacterial SSU rRNA". It matches the Rfam family "Bacterial small subunit ribosomal RNA", at positions 773 to 1174 of the family's 1533-position model. The record is from RNAcentral.